This is an unclassified non-coding RNA of 282 nucleotides. The stretch from base 1 to 46 matches the Rfam family "Eukaryotic small subunit ribosomal RNA", at positions 1786 to 1831 of the family's 1831-position model.
AAGUCGUAACAAGGUUUCCGUAGGUGAACCUGCGGAAGGAUCAUUAAAGUGUUUCGGAGCCUGGCUCGGGCAUCUCACCUCGAGGUGUCGGUGUCAGCGCCCCCACACGUGUUUACUCAACUUGGUUGCCUUGGUGAGCCUGCCCUCGUGGCUGCCGGGGAUGCCUCACGGCGUUCCGGGCUCGUGCUCACCAGUGGAUCAUUUGAACUCUUCUGUGAAAAUAGUCAGUCUGAGCAUUAUGCAAAUUAAAUAAAACUUUCAACAACGGAUCUCUUGGUUCCG